Molecule: ribosomal RNA, 253 nt
Filed under: uncultured bacterium
Lineage: Bacteria
Description: partial 16S ribosomal RNA
Rfam family: Bacterial small subunit ribosomal RNA
Source: RNAcentral
UACGGGGGGGGCAAGCGUUGUUCGGAAUUACUGGGCGUAAAGGGCUCGUAGGUGGCCAACUAAGUCGGACGUGAAAUCCCUCGGCUUAACCGGGGAACUGCGUCCGAUACUGGUUGGCUUGAGUUUGGGAGAGGGAUGCGGAAUUCCAGGUGUAGCGGUGAAAUGCGUAGAUAUGACAUAGAACACCAAUUGCGAAGGCAGCUGGCUACACAAAUAUUGACACUGAGGCACGAAAGCGUGGGGAUCAAACAGG